AGAGUUUGAUCCUGGCUCAGAACGAACGCUGGCGGCGUGCCUAAGACAUGCAAGUCGUGCGAGAAAGGGGCUUCGGCCCCGAGUACAGCGGCGCACGGGUGAGUAACGCGUGGGCAACCUACCUCGAAGUUGGGAACAACCUGGGGAAACCUGGGCUAAUGCCGGAUGAGCCCACGAGGUCCUCGGACCAUGUGGGAAAAGGUGGCCUCUGCUUGCAAGCUACCGCUUCGAGACGGGCCCGCGUCCCAUUAGCUAGUUGGUGAGGUAACGGCUCACCAAGGCUCCGAUGGGUAGCUGGUCUGAGAGGACGAUCAGCCACACUGGAACUGAGACACGGUCCAGACUCCUACGGGAGGCAGCAGUCGGGAAUCUUGGGCAAUGGGCGCAAGCCUGACCCAGCGACGCCGCGUGAGGGAUGAAGGCCUUCGGGUCGUAAACCUCUGUCAGGAGGGAAGAACGGCGAGGCGGUGAACAAUCGCUUCGUUUGACGGUACCUCCAAAGGAAGCGCCGGCUAACUCCGUGCCAGCAGCCGCGGUAAUACGGAGGGCGCAAGCGUUGUUCGGAAUCACUGGGCGUAAAGCGCGUGUAGGCGGCCGGGCAAGUCGGUUGUGAAAUCCCGAGGCUCAACCUCGGAACUGCAAUCGAAACUGCCCGGCUCGAGUCCCGGAGAGGAUGGCGGAAUUCCCGGUGUAGGGGUGAAAUCCGUAGAUAUCGGGAGGAACACCAGUGGCGAAGGCGGCCAUCUGGACGGUGACUGACGCUGAGACGCGAAAGCGUGGGGAGCAAACAGGAUUAGAUACCCUGGUAGUCCACGCCGUAAACGGUGAGUGCUAGACGUCGCGGGUAUUGACCCCCGCGGUGUCGAAGCUAACGCGUUAAGCACUCCGCCUGGGGAGUACGGCCGCAAGGCUAAAACUCAAA
Molecule: ribosomal RNA, 922 nt
Filed under: uncultured bacterium
Lineage: Bacteria
Description: bacterial SSU rRNA
Rfam family: Bacterial small subunit ribosomal RNA
Source: RNAcentral